RNAcentral lists this ribosomal RNA (403 nucleotides) under uncultured bacterium. RNAcentral describes it as "partial 16S ribosomal RNA". It matches the Rfam family "Bacterial small subunit ribosomal RNA", at positions 30 to 526 of the family's 1533-position model. The record is from RNAcentral.
AUUGAACGCUGGCGGCAGGCCUAACACAUGCAAGUCGAGCGAGCGGCGGACGGGUGAGUAAUGUAUGGGGACUGCCUGAUGGAGGGGGAUAACUACUGGAAACGGUAGCUAAUACCGCAUACCAUCAGCUAACCCAUAUGGGAUUAGCUGGUAGGUAAGGUAACGGCUCACCUAGGCGACGAUCCCUAGCUGGUCUGCGAGGAUGAUCAGCCACACGGGGACUGGGACACGGCCCAGACUACUACGGAGGCAGCAGUGGAGAAUAUUGGACAAUGAGCGCAAGCCUGAUGCAGCCAUGCCGCGUGUAUGAAGAAGGCCUUAGGGUUGUAAAGUACUUUCAGUCGGGAGGCGUUACCGACAGAAGAAGCACCGGCUAACUCCGUGCCAGCCGCCGCGGUAAUUC